This 530-nucleotide ribosomal RNA is filed under the name Stachybotrys sp. MAR06. RNAcentral describes it as "eukaryotic LSU rRNA". The stretch from base 161 to 314 matches the Rfam family "5.8S ribosomal RNA". The record is from RNAcentral. Lineage: Eukaryota; Fungi; Ascomycota; Sordariomycetes; Hypocreales; Stachybotryaceae.
CCGAGUUUACAACUCCCAAACCCUUAUGUGAACCGUACCUAUCGUUGCUUCGGCGGGAACGCCCCGGCGCCCUGCGCCCGGAUCCAGGCGCCCGCCGGAGACCCCAAACUCUUGUGUUUUUUUCAGUAUUCUCUGAGUGGCAAACGCAAAAAUAAAUCAAAACUUUUAACAACGGAUCUCUUGGCUCUGGCAUCGAUGAAGAACGCAGCGAAAUGCGAUAAGUAAUGUGAAUUGCAGAAUUCAGUGAAUCAUCGAAUCUUUGAACGCACAUUGCGCCCGUUAGCAUUCUAGCGGGCAUGCCUGUCCGAGCGUCAUUUCAACCCUCAGGGUCCCCGUUCCGGCGGGGAACCUGGUGUUGGGGAUCGGCCCGCCCCGUGCGGCGCCGUCCCCCAAAUUCAGUGGCGGUCUCGCUGCAGCCUCCCCUGCGUAGUAGUUACAACCUCGCAUCGGAGCUCAGCGCGGCCACGCCGUAAAACCCCCGACUUUCUGAACGUUGACCUCGGAUCAGGUAGGAAUACCCGCUGAACUUA